This is a long non-coding RNA of Aricia agestis (brown argus), 472 nucleotides long. RefSeq lists it as uncharacterized. The transcript has 2 exons. The record is from RefSeq and is a predicted model, not a curated record. NCBI's taxonomy places the organism in Eukaryota, Metazoa, Arthropoda, Insecta, Lepidoptera, Lycaenidae.
GCAGCGCGGUCGCCCGGACGCUCGUAAACUUCACCUGUAUUCGUACCGUGAUCGAAAUAAAAUUUGACAUAAAAACAAACAAAAAAGAGAUUCAUAUUUUUAUAUGAAAAUCUGAACUCGCAUUUACAAAGUCGGCCACCCGUCUUUAACAACUACAGUCUCGGCUGUCUUCAACUCUUCACCGUCAUUAUAUUAUCAUUAUACAUUACCGAAAGCCUUUCAAUAGAAACAUACCUCUACAAUAAAUUACUAAACUACGCGCUAGUGAUGGGGCUUCACAAUCUUCCGUCGGUCACAAUAUAAAGAGACAAUACAGUUAUCCCGUUACUUAUAAAAGUCUACAAUGUUCAGUCCUUGUCUAUUAGGCGACUUUUAUAACGCAUCAGACAGACAAAACUAUAACAUCUGUGUGUAGAUCUUAAGAAAGUGAUCAGAAGAUUGCAAAACACGCCGAUUAAAGUGCAAUUUAUUU